GGGGGGCGGGGGAGUGGCCUCGCCGCUGCUGGAAGGAUCUGGAGCCCCCCCUGGCAGAGCUGAGCUUUGUUACCUAUUAAGUAAUUAGCUGUAGAAACGCUCACCUUUCCCAUUAAACACGCUUGAAAGGCGUGGGGCGCUGAAGUGGCUGGAGGCAGAACGAACCCGAAUGAGGAAAGUUAAAAGGAAUUAGGAUUCGGUUACAAUGGAGGGCCAGAUUAUCAAGGAACACGAGGAAAGAUGAGUGGCGGUUUAUACAGCGGGUUCACGAUUUAUCCCAAGACAUCACAGAAUUCGAAGCAGGAGGAGAUGGACAGGGAUACACCAGAGAGAUGCAACAACCGCUAUACCAAACCUCCAGAACACGGGCAACGACCAGACGCAGCUUAAAGGAGAAGUCGCAACUAUUUCUGGUUACUCAAGGCCUCUGUUUUUCAAUCCCCCCCCUCCCGGGACUGGGGAUUUAGCUCAGUGAUAGAGCACUUGCCUAGCAAGCCCAAGGCCCUGGGUUCGGUCCCCAGCUCAAAAAAAAAAAAAAAAAAAAAAAAGAAACAAUCCCCCCCUCCCAUUUCCCCCAAGAGUGACACAUACUUAAAAAAAAAAAAACAACUUA
This is a non-coding RNA of Rattus norvegicus (Norway rat), 613 nucleotides long. Lineage: Eukaryota; Metazoa; Chordata; Mammalia; Rodentia; Muridae. The record is from RefSeq and is a predicted model, not a curated record.